This 484-nucleotide ribosomal RNA is filed under the name uncultured bacterium. RNAcentral's name for it is "partial 16S ribosomal RNA". It matches the Rfam family "Bacterial small subunit ribosomal RNA", at positions 29 to 507 of the family's 1533-position model. The record is from RNAcentral.
AUUGAACGCUGGCGGCAUGCUUUACACAUGCAAGUCGAACGGCAGCGCGGGCUUCGGCCUGGCGGCGAGUGGCGAACGGGUGAGUAAUACAUCGGAACGUGCCCAGUAGUGGGGGAUAGCUCGGCGAAAGCCGGAUUAAUACCGCAUACGACCUGAGGGUGAAAGCGGGGGAUCUUCGGACCUCGCGCUAUUUGAGCGGCCGAUGGCGGAUUAGCUAGUUGGUGGGGUAAAGGCCUACCAAGGCGACGAUCUGUAGCUGGUCUGAGAGGACGACCAGCCACACUGGGACUGAGACACGGCCCAGACGCCUACGGGAGGCAGCAGUGGGGAAUUUUGGACAAUGGGCGAAAGCCUGAUCCAGCAAUGCCGCGUGUGUGAUGAAGGCCUUCGGGUUGUAAAGCACUUUUGGCGGGAACGAAAAGGACUGUGCCAAUACCACGGUUCGAUGACGGUACCCGCAGAAUAAGCACCGGCUAACUACGUG